GACGAACCGUGCGAACGUUGUUCGGAUUCACUGGGCUUAAAGGGCGCGUAGGCGGCUUGCCAAGUCAGGGGUGAAAUCUCUCGGCUCAACCGGGAAACGGCCUCUGAUACUGGCGGGCUGGAGGGAGGUAGGGGCGGAUGGAACUUCCGGUGGAGCGGUGAAAUGCGUAGAUAUCGGAAGGAACGCCGGUGGCGAAAGCGAUCCGCUGGACCUCUGCUGACGCUGAGGCGCGAAAGCCAGGGGAGCAAACGGG
RNAcentral lists this ribosomal RNA (253 nucleotides) under uncultured bacterium. RNAcentral describes it as "partial 16S ribosomal RNA". It matches the Rfam family "Bacterial small subunit ribosomal RNA", at positions 524 to 776 of the family's 1533-position model. The record is from RNAcentral.